UGGGGAAUAUUGGACAAUGGGGGCAACCCUGAUCCAGCAAUGCCGCGUGUGUGAAGAAGGUUUUCGGAUUGUAAAGCACUUUCGGCGGGGACGAUGAUGACGGUACCCGCAGAAGAAGCCCCGGCUAACUUCGUGCCAGCAGCCGCGGUAAUACGAAGGGGGCUAGCGUUGCUCGGAAUGACUGGGCGUAAAGGGCGUGUAGGCGGUUUGUACAGUCAGAUGUGAAAUCCCCGGGCUUAACCUGGGAGCUGCAUUUGAUACGUGCAGACUAGAGUGUGAGAGAGGGUUGUGGAAUUCCCAGUGUAGAGGUGAAAUUCGUAGAUAUUGGGAAGAACACCGGUGGCGAAGGCGGCAACCUGGCUCAUGACUGACGCUGAGGCGCGAAAGCGUGGGGAGCAAACAGGAUUAGAUACCCU
This 416-nucleotide ribosomal RNA is filed under the name uncultured bacterium. Its description in RNAcentral is "partial 16S ribosomal RNA". It matches the Rfam family "Bacterial small subunit ribosomal RNA", at positions 355 to 788 of the family's 1533-position model. The record is from RNAcentral.